GGAAGCGUGCCCGAAAGAUAAGGACCUCCUUGAUAGGGAGGCUAAU
This 46-nucleotide transfer RNA is filed under the name Polypedates leucomystax (Java whipping frog). Its description in RNAcentral is "partial tRNA-Ile". Lineage: Eukaryota; Metazoa; Chordata; Amphibia; Anura; Rhacophoridae. The record is from RNAcentral.